This 412-nucleotide ribosomal RNA is filed under the name uncultured bacterium. Its description in RNAcentral is "bacterial SSU rRNA". It matches the Rfam family "Bacterial small subunit ribosomal RNA", at positions 29 to 428 of the family's 1533-position model. The record is from RNAcentral.
AACGAACGCUGGCGGCGUGCCUAAUACAUGCAAGUCGAGCGAGAAAGCCUCUUCGGAGGUGAGUAAAGCGGCGCACGGGUGAGUAACACGUGGGCAACCUACCCUUGAGUCUGGGAUAACCCGGGGAAACUCGGGCUAAUACCAGAUACGGCUGCGGGGUCUUCGGAUCCUGUGGAGAAAGAUGGCCUCUUCUUGAAAGCUAUCUCUCGAGGAUGGGCCCGCGUCCUAUUAGCUAGNGGUGAGGUAACGGCUCACCAAGGCAAAGAUGGGUAGCUGGUCUGAGAGGAUGGCCAGCCACACUGGAACUGAGACACGGUCCAGACUCCUACGGGAGGCAGCAGUAGGGAAUUUUGGGCAAUGGGCGAAAGCCUGACCCAGCAACGCCGCGUGAGGGAUGACGGCCUCGGUGUAA